UACGGAGGGUGCAAGCGUUAAUCGGAAUUACUGGGCGUAAAGCGCGCGUAGGUGGUUUGUUAAGUUGGAUGUGAAAGCCCCGGGCUCAACCUGGGAACUGCAUUCAAAACUGACAAGCUAGAGUAUGGUAGAGGGUGGUGGAAUUUCCUGUGUAGCGGUGAAAUGCGUAGAUAUAGGAAGGAACACCAGUGGCGAAGGCGACCACCUGGACUGAUACUGACACUGAGGUGCGAAAGCGUGGGGAGCAAACAGG
This 253-nucleotide ribosomal RNA is filed under the name uncultured bacterium. RNAcentral's name for it is "partial 16S ribosomal RNA". It matches the Rfam family "Bacterial small subunit ribosomal RNA", at positions 524 to 776 of the family's 1533-position model. The record is from RNAcentral.